This 2502-nucleotide long non-coding RNA is filed under the name Paramuricea clavata. The record is from RNAcentral. Lineage: Eukaryota; Metazoa; Cnidaria; Anthozoa; Malacalcyonacea; Plexauridae.
UCUUAGUGUAGAAAAUUGUUUAAAAAAGGGGGUCCAUAUCCGCUAAAGGGGGUCCAUAUCUGCUAGGAGAUUUGGACCGGGGGGUCCAUAUCUACUAGGAGAUUUGGACCGGGGGGUCCAAAUCUACUGGGGGGUCCAAAUCCGCUGUGACACCGGGCGCGUAGUAUUUUGAAAAUACUGCCCCGGCUGCCGCAUGUAGACUAGUAUAUAUAAACUAGAUCGAGCACACAAAAUAUCAACUAUUAUGCGUUUAUACUACAGUCGUUUUAUAGUUUUGAUCGAGUACACCGAAUACGCGCCGAAUACGUCACUUUUGAUCGAGUACGCUUAGAAAGCGUAUACAUUCACAAAUACUUGAUCGAGUACGCAUAUUAAAAUGCACUAUUAUAGUACUGAGUACAGUCCUCAGAGUGCUCAGAGCCAUAUUCAUAGAUAGAGUAAACAAAGUUAGCACGAAGAGCAGGAAGUCGAAUGAGCCAUUGAACGCCAAUAAAGAUAAUCACAAAUAACUGAUCACAUGUGUUCACGAUUUGUUUCGAUUGGUCAGAAUUAAGAGAGGCCACGUGGGAGAAUAAGUCUUGCGCGAAAAAAACCCGGCGAAACAAUGAACAAUGACUCUCGCUUUCGAGUAGCGAGUACUAAUAAUUUAACUGACUCGAAUAUAUUUCAGUAAAUUCCAAGAAACUUUAUCCAGUCCUGGUUUUGAGAUAAGUGCAUAUAUUCAAAAUAAUUGACGAAGAUGGCAAAUCGGCGAGGUCGAGGGCAACAACAGCAACAUUUGCAGCUACAAAUACCCUUAUUACUACGAAUAAUAAUAAUGGGACCAGUUUACUUAGGGGUUGCUUUCGCUUUAAUGAAAGUCGUGGACUCACUACAAGUGUUGCUUAACUCGCUUUCAUUUGAGAUGUUCGAAGAUGUAUUUAAUGGCAUUUAUUAUCAAUUUUUGUACUGUUAUACUUAUUGUUCUAGAACCAAAGUGCGUAAUGUUGUUCAAAAUUUAGGUAACCAAGUUCAUGUCAAGUUUUGCGAUGUGGUGAUAACCCUUAUCGAUAAUUCAAGUUUGCUACUUGAUUACCUCAUGACUUGUAUUUACAACAUUACUUUACGAUUCUUAGAAAUAAUUUGGCAGGUACUUAAUAAGUUACUUAACUAUGCAACCUACAUCGGUGGUUGGUUUCAUGGAAAUAUACUCCAAUUUGUUACACUAUUGGAUGCUCAUUUUCCUGGUGGGAUUCCACUAAUUGGGCUAUUCCAUUUAAUAUCCGUACCCCCCCUGUCGAGGAUACCUGGAAUUCUUCAGGGGUAGGGUGUUUUGAGCUUGGAAUUCUUCAGGGGUAGGGUGUUUUGAGUUUGGAAUUCUUCAGGGGUAGAUUGUUUUGAGCUUGGAAUUCUUCAGUGGUAAAGGAUUUUGAGUUUGGAAUUCUUCAGGGGUACAGUGUUUUUAGCUUGGAAUUCUUCAGGGGUAAAGUGUUUUGAGCUUGGAAUUCUUCAGGGUAGAUUGUUUUGAGCUUGGAAUUCUUCAGGGGUACAGUGUUUUGAGCUUGGAAUUCUUCAGGGGUACAGUGUUUUGAGUUUGGAAUUCUUCAGGGGUACAGUGUUUUGAGCUUGGAAUUCUUCAGGGGUACAGUGUUUUGAGCUUGGAAUUCUUCAGGGGUACAGUGUUUUGAGCUUGGAAUUCUUCAGGGGUACAGUGUUUUGAGUUUGGAAUUCUUAAGGGGUAAAUGAUUUUGAGUUUGGAAUUCUUCAGGGGUAGGGUGUUUUGAGCUUGGAAUUCUUCAGGGGUAGGGUGUUUUGAGUUUGGAAUUCUUCAGGGGUAGAGUGUUUUGAGUUUGGAAUUCUUCAGGGGUAGGGUGUUUUGAGUUUGGAAUUCUUCAUGGGUAGAGUGUUUUGAGCUUGGAAUUCUUCAGGGGUAGGGUGUUUUGAGUUUGGAAUUCUUCAGGGGUAAAGGAUUUUGAGUUUGGAAUUCUUCAGGGGUACAGUGUUUUGAGCUUGGAAUUCUUCAGGGGUAAAGGAAUUUGAGUUUGGAAUUCUUCAGGGGUACAGUGUUUUGAGUUUGGAAUUCUUCAGGGGUACAGUGUUUUGAGCUUGGAAUUCUUCAGGGGUACAGUGUUUUGAGUUUGGAAUUCUUCAGGGGUAAAGGAUUUUGAGCUUGGAAUUCUUCAGGGGUAAAGUGUUUUGAGUUUGGAAUUCUUCAGGGGUAGAGGAUUCGAGCUUGGAAUUCUUCAGGGGUAAAGAGGUUUGAGAUCGAAAUUUUUCAGAGUUUGGAAUUCUUCAGGGGUAAAGUGUUUUGAGCUUGGAAUUCUUCAGGGGUACAGUGUUUUGAGCUUGGAAUUCUUCAGGGGUAGGGUGUUUUGAGUUUGGAAUUCUUCAGGGGUAGAGUGUUUUGAGCUUGGAAUUCUUCAGGGGUAAAGAGGUUUGAGAUCGAAAUUUUUCUGAGUUUGGAAUUCUUCAGGGGUAAAGUGUUUUGAGUUUGGAAUUCUUCAGGGGUAGAGUGUUUUGAGC